ACAGAGGUGGCAAGCGUUGUUCGGAAUUACUGGGCGUAAAGGGCGCGUAGGCGGCCCACUAAGUCAGACGUGAAAUCCCCCGGCUUAACCUGGGAACUGCGUCUGAUACUGGAGGGCUUGAGUAUGGGAGAGGGAUGUAGAAUUCCAGGUGUAGCGGUGAAAUGCGUAGAUAUCAGGAGGAAUACCGAUGGCGAAGGCAGGUCUCUGGGCUGACACUGACGCUCAUGCACGAAAGCGUGGGGAGCAAACAGGA
This 253-nucleotide ribosomal RNA is filed under the name uncultured prokaryote. RNAcentral describes it as "partial 16S ribosomal RNA". It matches the Rfam family "Bacterial small subunit ribosomal RNA", at positions 525 to 777 of the family's 1533-position model. The record is from RNAcentral.